Molecule: ribosomal RNA, 491 nt
Filed under: uncultured bacterium
Lineage: Bacteria
Description: partial 16S ribosomal RNA
Rfam family: Bacterial small subunit ribosomal RNA
Source: RNAcentral
AGUGAACGCUGGCGGUAGGCCUAACACAUGCAAGUCGAACGGCAGCACAGUAAGAGCUUGCUCUUACGGGUGGCGAGUGGCGGACGGGUGAGGAAUACAUCGGAAUCUACUUUUUCGUGGGGGAUAACGUAGGGAAACUUACGCUAAUACCGCAUACGACCUACGGGUGAAAGCAGGGGAUCUUCGGACCUUGCGCGAUUGAAUGAGCCGAUGUCGGAUUAGCUAGUUGGCGGGGUAAAGGCCCACCAAGGCGACGAUCCGUAGCUGGUCUGAGAGGAUGAUCAGCCACACUGGAACUGAGACACGGUCCAGACUCCGACGGGAGGCAGCAGUGGGGAAUAUUGGACAAUGGGCGCAAGCCUGAUCCAGCCAUACCGCGUGGGUGAAGAAGGCCUUCGGGUUGUAAAGCCCUUUUGUUGGGAAAGAAAAGCAGCAGGUUAAUACCCCGCUGUUCUGACGGUACCCAAAGAAUAGGCACCGGCUAACUGCGU